UACGGAGGGUGCUAGCGUUGUUCGGAAUUACUGGGCGUAAAGGGCGCGUAGGCGGCCGUUUGCGUCGGAUGUGAAAGCCCGGGGCUCAACCUCGGAACGGCGGUGGAUACUGAGAAGCUGGAGUACGGUAGAGGAAGGUGGAAUUCCCGGUGUAGCGGUGAAAUGCGUAGAGAUCGGGAGGAACAUCAGUGGCGAAGGCGGCCUUCUGGACCAGUACUGACGCUGAGGCACGAAAGCGUGGGGAGCAAACAGG
Molecule: ribosomal RNA, 253 nt
Filed under: uncultured bacterium
Lineage: Bacteria
Description: partial 16S ribosomal RNA
Rfam family: Bacterial small subunit ribosomal RNA
Source: RNAcentral